This 251-nucleotide ribosomal RNA is filed under the name uncultured prokaryote. Its description in RNAcentral is "partial 16S rRNA". It matches the Rfam family "Bacterial small subunit ribosomal RNA", at positions 525 to 775 of the family's 1533-position model. The record is from RNAcentral.
ACGGGGGGUGCGAGCGUUGUUCGGAAUUAUUGGGCGUAAAGAGCGUGUAGGCGGCUGAAUAAGUCAGAUGUGAAAUCCCUGGGCUUAACCCAGGACGUGCAGUUGAAACUAUUCGGCUAGAGUAUGGGAGAGGAAAGUGGAAUUCCUGGUGUAGAGGUGAAAUGCGUAGAUAUGAGGAGGAACACCGGUGGCGAAGGCGGCUUACUGGACCUACACUGACGCUGAGGCGCGAGAGCGUGGGUAGCAAACAG